Hyla sarda is the source of this 598-nucleotide long non-coding RNA. RefSeq lists it as uncharacterized. The record is from RefSeq and is a predicted model, not a curated record. The transcript has 4 exons. NCBI's taxonomy places the organism in Eukaryota, Metazoa, Chordata, Amphibia, Anura, Hylidae.
CAGCAGGGACAGCAGCAGGGAUCCUUAUCCCAAAACCCAUUAUUGAAUGAUCCAGGAUCUAGUGACAACUUACAGGUGGUGAACCUCUCAGAUGUGGUAUUAUCUGAACAACAGGGUAAAUUGCAGACAUGCAGGAGGCAGGAGCCCCAGAUACCAAUGGAGAUACAAGCCGACACUGGAAUGUAGCUCUCAGCAACGGACUACUCUGCAGACAACCAGCUACUAAAACUACUCAAAUCUAUACUGCUUAAGAGGUUUUGCUAAACUAAAACUCAAAACAGUUUUGAUCACUCCAGACGAAGAUGGCAAAGGACCCUACUCAGAGAAAAGGAAUCCCUCCUCCCCUUACAACACUUGGUAGCUGCACUUGGCAUGAAAAGUUCUGUAAAGACCAGCCUUGGCAAGUAGAAGUCUUCAUGAAGCCCUGGGCCGCAUAGUGGAAAAAAGGAAAUAUGAACAACUCUGGUCAGAGCAGACAUCCCAUAUAAGUCAUUAAAUAUAACUGUAAUCACUUAUACUCUCUGUAGAAUGUUUGAUGGUUUUUAUCGCUAUAUGGUCAGUAUGUGGGAAUAUUGGCUCAUUUUUAGGCUGAUUUUUU